Molecule: ribosomal RNA, 324 nt
Filed under: Anaplasma platys
Lineage: Bacteria; Pseudomonadati; Pseudomonadota; Alphaproteobacteria; Rickettsiales; Anaplasmataceae
Description: bacterial SSU rRNA
Rfam family: Bacterial small subunit ribosomal RNA
Source: RNAcentral
UUAGUGGCAGACGGGUGAGUAAUGCAUAGGAAUCUACCUAGUAGUAUGGGAUAGCCACUAGAAAUGGUGGGUAAUACUGUAUAAUCCCUGCGGGGGAAAGAUUUAUCGCUAUUAGAUGAGCCUAUGUUAGAUUAGCUAGUUGGUAGGGUAAAGGCCUACCAAGGCGGUGAUCUAUAGCUGGUCUGAGAGGAUGAUCAGCCACACUGGAACUGAGAUACGGUCCAGACUCCUACGGGAGGCAGCAGUGGGGAAUAUUGGACAAUGGGCGCAAGCCUGAUCCAGCUAUGCCGCGUGAGUGAGGAAGGCCUUAGGGUUGUAAAACUC